AGAUGGACCCGACCCAUGACCCACCACCGCAUGAUCCUAUCCGUUCCCUUGACUAUAAAUAUUUUACAUUUCAAACUCAAAAACUAAAAAAAGGAGAAAGAAAUAAUGGUGGCUUUGCGGUUAAAUCUUGGCGUGCCAACAACGUCCACCUUUUAUCACCUGAAAAACUCUAAGUCGCCGCCGCCGUUUCCGGCGAGGCUGAGGGCAGCGAAUAAGAAGAAACCUGAGAUCUGUACAGCGGAUGAGUUACACUACGUUCCUGUCUCUACUUCCGAUUGGAAACUGGCUCUCUGGCGUUACCUUCCUUCUCCGACUAGGAAAAGGAAUCAUCCACUUCUGUUAUUAUCAGGAGUUGGUACUAAUGCUAUUGGAUAUGAUCUCUCUCCUGAGUCCUCCUUCGCACGCUUCAUGUCUGGCCAAGGAUUUGAUACUUGGAUUCUUGAACUUCGAGGAGCCGGUUUGAGUGUAUUGAAUAUGGAAUAUGGUGAAGAUACAGAAGCAGUUUCUAAAACUGACAGAUUGAAAUCCAAGUUGUUGGGAACUUUUAUCCGUUUAUUUGGAACUCUUUCUGGCCCUUUUUUUGAAGAUAAUUAUUCAGGGGAAAACUUUACUGUCGCAAAACAAAUUAAGGAAUUUCGUCAGAAGUUUCUUAAUAUUAUUGAAGAGGGCCAGCAUUCUUCUAAAUCACAGUUUUUUGACUUUCAAGACCGUUUUUCUAAUACACUGGAGGAUUUCCUCAAACAAGUUGACUUGAUUUUGAAGUAUGAUUGGGAUUUUGAUCAUUACCUUGAAGAGGAUUUGCCUGCUGCGAUGGAGUACAUAAGGACUCAAUGUUGUCCAAAAGAUGGCAAGCUGCUUGCAGUUGGUCACUCCAUGGGAGGCAUCUUGCUGUAUGCUAUGCUAUCAAAAUUCUGUUUUGAAGGAAGGGAUCCCGGAUUGACAUCAGUGACCACUUUAGCUUCAUCACUUGACUACACCCCUUCAAAAUCAUCACUAAAGCUGCUCUUGCCGGUGGCAGACCCUGCAAAGACUUUUAAUGUUCCUAUUAUUCCAAUUGGAGCAUUGCUGGCUGCUGCUCAUCCUUUUGCAUCUCGUCCUCCUUACAUCUUAUCUUGGUUAAAUCCUCAAAUCUCUGCUCCAGGCAUGAUGCACCCAAAAUUGUUUGACAAGCUUGUUAUGAACAACUUCUGCUCAGUUCCUGCUAAGCUUCUCUUGCAGCUGACAACAGCAUUUGAAGAGGGUGGAUUAAGAAACCGAAAUGGAUCUUUCUUCUAUAAGGAUCAUCUAGGCAAAAGCAAUGUUCCUGUGUUGGCAAUAGCUGGUGAUCAAGAUCUUAUUUGUCCACCAGAAGCUGUAUACGAAACCGUAAAGGUCAUCCCUGAGCAUUUAGUUACUUACCAAGUUUUCGGAGAGCCCAGGGGUCCUCAUUAUGCACACUACGACCUUGUGGGAGGCCAUCUGGCCGCACAUCAAGUGUAUCCAUGCAUAAUCAACUUCCUCAAUCGUCACGACGCAUGACUAAUUUCCUCCAGAUAUUCUUUGAAAUCUUUUCUUCAAUAGCAAUUAAUUCUUAAUAUCUUAAUAUCUUCAACUCCAAGCAAGGAUCCGCUUCUUGUUCCUAGUCAUUGCAUAUUGGCAUGGAGCAAAGGACAGAGGUCAGAGGCGGAAUCAGUUGAUGAGAUUGUGGAUGAGGUUAGCAACAGAUUACGUCAAUUAAGCGAUUCUCAAAGUGGGAAUAACUUUGAAAGUGAUGGUUUCUCGUGUCCAAGAAGUGGAAUCAUUAUUAAAGGUUGAGUCGAGAGAUGAUGUACGCAUAGUAGGAAUUUGGGGGAUGGGCGGGGAUCGGUAAAUCAACUAUUGCCGAAAUAGUGUUCAAUAAAAUCAAGGACAGCUUUGCUGCUCA
Ricinus communis (castor bean) is the source of this 1903-nucleotide RNA transcript. RefSeq lists it as uncharacterized. NCBI's taxonomy places the organism in Eukaryota, Viridiplantae, Streptophyta, Magnoliopsida, Malpighiales, Euphorbiaceae. The transcript is spliced from 12 exons. The record is from RefSeq and is a predicted model, not a curated record.